CUACGGGGUGCUGCAGUGAGGAAUAUUGCACAAUGGGGGAAACCCUGAUGCAGCAACGCCGCGUGGAGGAUGACGCAUUUCGGUGUGUAAACUCCUUUUAUAUGUCAAGAAAAUGACGGUAGCAUAUGAAUAAGCACCGGCUAACUCUGUGCCAGCAGCCGCGGUAAUACGGAGGGUGCAAGCGUUACUCGGAAUCACUGGGCGUAAAGGACGCGUAGGCGGGUUGGAAAGUCAGGUGUGAAAUCCUACAGCUUAACUGUAGAACUGCACUUGAAACUUCUAAUCUAGAGUAUGGGAGGGGGAGAUGGAAUUAGUGGUGUAGGGGUAAAAUCCGUAGAUAUCACUAGGAAUACCUAAAGCGAAGGCGAUCUCCUGGAACAUUACUGACGCUAAGGCGUGAAAGCGUGGGGAGCAAACAGGAUUAGAUACCCUUGUAGUC
RNAcentral lists this ribosomal RNA (439 nucleotides) under uncultured bacterium. RNAcentral describes it as "partial 16S ribosomal RNA". It matches the Rfam family "Bacterial small subunit ribosomal RNA", at positions 339 to 795 of the family's 1533-position model. The record is from RNAcentral.